GAUGAACGCUGGCGGCGUGCCUAAUACAUGCCAGUAGAACGCUGAAGCUUGGUGCUUGCACCGAGCGGAUGAGUUGCGAACGGGUGAGUAACGCGUAGGUAACCUGCCUCUUAGCGGGGGAUAACUAUUGGAAACGAUAGCUAAUACCGCAUAAAAGUCGAUAUCGCAUGAUAUUGAUUUGAAAGGUGCAAAUGCAUCACUAAGAGAUGGACCUGCGUUGUAUUAGCUAGUUGGUGAGGUAACGGCUCACCAAGGCGACGAUACAUAGCCGACCUGAGAGGGUGAUCGGCCACACUGGGACUGAGACACGGCCCAGACUCCUACGGGAGGCAGCAGUAGGGAAUCUUCGGCAAUGGGGGCAACCCUGACCGAGCAACGCCGCGGGAGUGAAGAAGGGUUUCGGAUCGUAAAGCUCUGUUGUAAGAGAAGAACGAGUGUGAGAGUGGAAAGUUCACACUGUGACGGUAACUUACCAGAAAGGGACGGCUAACUACGUG
This 497-nucleotide ribosomal RNA is filed under the name uncultured bacterium. RNAcentral's name for it is "partial 16S ribosomal RNA". It matches the Rfam family "Bacterial small subunit ribosomal RNA", at positions 28 to 507 of the family's 1533-position model. The record is from RNAcentral.